Molecule: ribosomal RNA, 485 nt
Filed under: uncultured bacterium
Lineage: Bacteria
Description: partial 16S ribosomal RNA
Rfam family: Bacterial small subunit ribosomal RNA
Source: RNAcentral
AUUGAACGCUGGCGGCAUGCCUUACACAUGCAAGUCGAACGGCAGCACGGGUGCUUGCCCCUGUUGGCGAGUGGCGAACGGGUGAGUAAUACAUCGGAACAUGUCCUGUAGUGGGGGAUAGCCCGGCGAAAGCCGUAUUAAUACCGCAUACGAUCUACGGCUGAAAGCGGGUGACCUUCUGGCCUCGCGCUCUUGGGUUUGCCGAUGGGUGCUUUGCUUGUUGGUGGGGUAAAGGCCUACCAAGGAGAGGAUCAGUAGCUGGUCUGAGAGGACGACCAGCAAAACAGGAAGUGAGAAACGGACAAGAAUCCAACGGGAGGCAGAAGUGGGGAAGUUAGGAAAAUGGGCGAAAGACUGAUCAAGAAAGGAGGAGAGUGUGAAGAAGGCCUACGGGUUGUAAAGCACUUUAGUACGGAAAGAAAUAAUUGGAAGUAAGACGGUAGGGGGAUGACGGAACCGGAAGAAUAAGAACGGGCUAACUACGU